This 107-nucleotide small nuclear RNA is filed under the name Mustela putorius furo (domestic ferret). The record is from RNAcentral. Lineage: Eukaryota; Metazoa; Chordata; Mammalia; Carnivora; Mustelidae.
GUGCUCACUUCGGCAGCACAUAUACUAAAAUUGGAAUGAUACAGAGAAGAUUAGUAUGGCCCCUGCACAAGGAUGACACGCAAAUUUGCGAAGCAUUCCAUAUUUCA